Non-coding RNA from Mycena capillaripes, 90 nucleotides. NCBI's taxonomy places the organism in Eukaryota, Fungi, Basidiomycota, Agaricomycetes, Agaricales, Mycenaceae. The record is from the annotation of a GenBank genome assembly.
GACUACGUGGUGUAGUGGUAACACAUCCACCUAAACUCGGAAACCGAGGGACUUGUGUGGAAAUCGCUGGUUCGAAUCCGGCUCCAGUCA